RNAcentral lists this ribosomal RNA (465 nucleotides) under Vreelandella stevensii. Its description in RNAcentral is "partial 16S ribosomal RNA". It matches the Rfam family "Bacterial small subunit ribosomal RNA", at positions 338 to 795 of the family's 1533-position model. The record is from RNAcentral. Lineage: Bacteria; Pseudomonadati; Pseudomonadota; Gammaproteobacteria; Oceanospirillales; Halomonadaceae.
CCUACGGGGGGCAGCAGUGGGGAAUAUUGGACAAUGGGCGAAAGCCUGAUCCAGCCAUGCCGCGUGUGUGAAGAAGGCCUUCGGGUUGUAAAGCACUUUCAGUGGGGAAGAAAGCCUUGGGGCUAAUACCCUCGAGGAAGGACAUCACCCACAGAAGAAGCACCGGCUAACUCCGUGCCAGCAGCCGCGGUAAUACGGAGGGUGCGAGCGUUAAUCGGAAUUACUGGGCGUAAAGCGCGCGUAGGCGGUAGGAUAAGCCGGUUGUGAAAGCCCCGGGCUCAACCUGGGAACGGCAUCCGGAACUGUCAGGCUAGAGUGCAGGAGAGGAAGGUAGAAUUCCCGGUGUAGCGGUGAAAUGCGUAGAGAUCGGGAGGAAUACCAGUGGCGAAGGCGGCCUUCUGGACUGACACUGACGCUGAGGUGCGAAAGCGUGGGUAGCAAACAGGAUUAGAUACCCCUGUAGUC